AGUUAUUGCCCUUUAUAGUCAAUUUUUAACCAUUUUUCGUUAAUUAAAGAAAUCUUUUACAAAAAUCUUCUCCUCUGAAACUACUGGGCCAAAUUAAUCCAAACUUGGCCACAAUCAUCUUUGGGGUAUCUAGUUUAAAAAAUGUGUGGUGUGACCUGGUCAACCAACCAAGAUGGCGGCCACGGCUAAAAAUAGAACAAAGGGGUAAAAUGCAGUUUUUGACUUAUAACUCAAAAACCAAAGCAUUUUGAGGAAAUCUGACAGGGGAUAAAAAUGUUUAUCAGGUCAAGAUCUAUCUGCCCUGAAAUUUUCAGAUGAAUUGGUCAAUCGGUUGUUGGGUUGCUGCCCCUGAAUUGGUAAUUUUGAGGAAAUUUUGCUGUUUUUGUUAUUAUCUUGAAUAUUAUUAUAGAUAGAGAUAAACUGUAAACAGCAAUAAUGUUCAACAAAGUAAGAUCUACAAAUAAGUCAACAUGACCAAAAUGGUCAGUUGACCCGUUUAGGAGUUAUUGCCCUUUAUUGUCAAUUUUUAACCAUUUUUCGUAAAUUAAAGUAAUCUUUUACAAAAAUCUUCUCCUCUGAAACUACUGGGCCAAAUUAAUCCAAACUUGGCCACAAUCAUCUUUGGGGUAUCUAGUUUAAAAAAUGUGUGGCUGACUUGGUCAACCAACCAAGAUGGCCGCCACGGCUAAAAAUAGAACAUAGGGGUAAAAUGCAGUUUUUGGCUUAUAACUCAAAAACCAAAGCAUUUUGAGGAAAUCUGACAUGGGAUAAAA
Molecule: long non-coding RNA, 773 nt
Filed under: Mytilus galloprovincialis (Mediterranean mussel)
Lineage: Eukaryota; Metazoa; Mollusca; Bivalvia; Mytilida; Mytilidae
Source: RNAcentral